This 977-nucleotide long non-coding RNA is filed under the name Drosophila guanche. The record is from RNAcentral. Lineage: Eukaryota; Metazoa; Arthropoda; Insecta; Diptera; Drosophilidae.
ACCGGUGCCGGGUGCGGGUUGCAGGUCGUUGUCUCCGCGUUUAUAUCCGUAAAAAUCGGGAAUUUCGGGAAAUAAAUCAAACAAGCAAAGUGAGGUGCAGUUGUGUAGUGAAAGUAAAAGUACAAGUGAAGUAAAGUGUUUAGUGCAGAAAAAGUGUGGGUUCCAGAGCGGCUGCGGCUUUGGCGAUAUGGAAAAAAGGCGAAAAUGGCAGCUUGGCGAAUAUGGCGAAAAAUGGCAGCUUGGUAGAAAAGUGAAGUGUGUGUAGUGCAAAGUAGUGAAGUGAUGUGUAGUGCAGUGUAGUGAAGUGAUGUGCAGUGUAGUGAUGUUGUGAUUAACUGAAAAUUAACAAACAAGUGUGUGUUUAGUGCAAGAAAAUGUUUAUUCUCCAAGGCAGCAGAGGCGGCGGCGAAUUGGCAAAAAGGCGAAAAGGCAACAUGGCGAAUAUGGCGUUAUGGCGAAAAAUUGCAGCUUGGCAGAAAAGUGAAGUGUUGUGGUCUAAUAUGUUGGCGAAGAAAGCCUCAAAAUGGUAUCAAAUCGUAGCUUGGCAAUGUGUGGAAGUCAUUAUCUAAAUAAGCAUAUUAAAUUGUGCGUAUAUUCUUUUUUUUCAUGUGUAAAGUCAUUGCCUUAGUUCCAGCAAAGUGUGUGUGUGCAAAAAUUUUGCAAAAAAGUCGCUAGGUUUGUCCCUUUCCCCUCCAGCAUAAAAUAGCGUAGUAAAGAGAGUGAAAAAGGAAUGAGCGUUACAAGUGAUGUGAGUGAUAGGGUGAGGCAUUUCAAAUCUGCUGAUCUGACUCUCUCUCAUUUUGUGUGUUCACACGAACUUACGUCCACUUAUGCCUCACCUUCAAUUAAUAUCCCCAAAAUGUGCUCUCUUAUUGGAAAUUUCGUGCGUUUCGUUUUCGGUUUGCGGUUUUCGUUGCGGGUUUCGUCGUCGAAGUCGUCGUGCGGUGUCUUUCUUCUCUCUUUUCAGCUUGUCAGAG